Molecule: ribosomal RNA, 823 nt
Filed under: uncultured eukaryote
Lineage: Eukaryota
Description: SSU rRNA
Rfam family: Eukaryotic small subunit ribosomal RNA
Source: RNAcentral
AGUAUAAGCAACUAUACGGUGAAACUGCGAAUGGCUCAUUAAAUCAGUUAUCGUUUAUUUGAUAGUACCCUACUACAUGGAUAACCGUGGUAAUUCUAGAGCUAAUACAUGCUAAAAACCCCGACUUCGGAAGGGGUGUAUUUAUUAGAUAAAAAACCAACGCCCUUCGGGGCUCCCUGGUGAAUCAUAAUAACUUAACGAAUCGCAUGGCCUUGCGCCGGCGAUGGUUCAUUCAAAUUUCUGCCCUAUCAACUUUCGAUGGUAGGAUAGUGGCCUACCAUGGUUUCAACGGGUAACGGGGAAUUAGGGUUCGACUCCGGAGAGGGAGCCUGAGAAACGGCUACCACAUCCAAGGAAGGCAGCAGGCGCGCAAAUUACCCAAUGCCGACACGGCGAGGUAGCGACAAUAAAUACUGAUACAGGGCUCUUUUGGGUCUUGUAAUUGGAAUGAGUACAAUUUAAAUCCCUUAACGAGGAACAAUUGGAGGGCAAGUCUGGUGCCAGCAGCCGCGGUAAUUCCAGCUCCAAUAGCGUACAUUAAAGUUGUUGCAGUUAAAAAGCUCGUAGUUGAACCUUGGGCCUGGCUGGCCGGUCCGCCUCACCGCGUGCACUGGUCCGGCCGGGCCUUUCUUUCUGGGGAACCGCAUGGCCUUCACUGGCCGUGCCGGGGAACCAGGACUUUUACUUUGAAAAAAUUAGAGUGUUCAAAGCAGGCCUUUGCUCGGAUACAUUAGCAUGGAAUAAUAGAAUAGGACGCGUGGUUCUAUUUUGUUGGUUUCUAGGACCGCCGUAAUGAUUAAUAGGGAUAGUCGGGGGCAUCUGU